This 209-nucleotide long non-coding RNA is filed under the name Nicotiana benthamiana. RNAcentral describes it as "long non-coding RNA (NBEN_LNC034390)". Lineage: Eukaryota; Viridiplantae; Streptophyta; Magnoliopsida; Solanales; Solanaceae. The record is from RNAcentral.
AAGCUUGUGACUCUUGAGUUAUGUAACUCUUGUGACUCUUGGGUUAUGUAACUCUUGUGUUAUAAAGUGGGGGUUAUGGUUCCCACAUUAGUGCAAGAUAAGACUCUUCUUCCUCCCAUUGAAUCAAGAGCCAAAAUACUCCAUUGUUGUCUUGCAAAUAGUGUGGAAAACCAUAGACCUAUUUGAUCAUUGUCACAACAUUAUUAUUG